Molecule: long non-coding RNA, 1947 nt
Organism: Acipenser ruthenus (sterlet)
Lineage: Eukaryota; Metazoa; Chordata; Actinopteri; Acipenseriformes; Acipenseridae
Exons: 4
Source: RefSeq, a predicted model, not a curated record
CUCAGCCUGUGAUACACUCCACAUGUCUGUCUCAUGGGGAGGUGCUGCUGGUCUGCACAGUGGAUAAAGGGGAUAAUGCUUCAUUUAACUGGAGUUUAGAUGGAGUGCCGCUGAAUACCAGCCUUGCUUACUUUAGUGAUGAAGAACAUGUUGUAAUAUUGAAAAAGCAUGUCUCAGGUAAUCUUGUCUGCAUUGCUACAAACCAAGUCAGCACAAACCAGAGCGACUCUGUGAUACCAAACUGCUCAGUGAUAAAGAACACAUUGUAAUAAUGAAGAAAAUGUCACUGGAGUUCUUCUCUGCAUUGCUAAAAACCAAAUCAAUGAAGAGCAGAGUGACUGACUCUGUGAAGUCAAACUGCUCAGGUUCUGAACACAAGAUGAAUCUGACAUCCACGCCCAGUCUAGUGACCCACUUCCAUUGCACCCUGGAGAAUGGGACGGUUAUCAAAUUAUCUGGGGACAAAGCAGGAGGGGCUUUUCACUUCUUAAUCAAUAAGAGCAUGAUAAUAACAAAAUAUACAAAUGGGUUUGCAUUUUGCAGUCUACAAACCUGCUGUUCAAAUUGCUCUGGUAAUUUAACCACAGAGCCUGGUGAUGCCAGUAAUGCAGAGGAUGCUGGUACUUUAUUUCUUUAUUUAUUCAUUUCAGUUCAUAUUGAUUAGGUAGCAAUUACUGUAUGGAUUAGUCAUUUACAGAUGUGUUGGAAGUCUAUUGACUGUCUAAAUAUCUUACAGAUAAUGUUUAAGUUUUACAUUCUCAAAUGUAUUUAAGUAUUCAGUCCAAUGCAAUUAUAUGGAAAUGAAGGUACACAACAGAUGUACUGUUCUAAAGGUUCACAGAUGUUUGUGACAUUUCAUAUCAUAUACGUUUCAUUAGGUCACAUCACAGACACUAUUUUAGACAUCAGUUUUAAACAUUCAUGAAGAUCACAGGAGAUUUCAAACAGCAACUACCAUAAAAAACGGUGUAUAAGGCGCACUGGUGUAUAAGUCCCCCCCUCCUUGUGAGACAACAAUUUCAGGAAAAAGCCUAUAGGUCACACUGGUGUACAAGUCGCUCCCCCCUUUUCAGGACCCCCCUAAAAAUACCUAGAUUUAUACAAAGGUUUUUAAAGUAGUUCAAGUGCUCCAAUGUUGAGAUAUUUUUUUUUAAUGAUGGCUCUAUUGAUCUUCUGGUUUUCUCUUUGACUGGCUGGGAUCUUGCUUGCAUUGCUGUGGAGAAGCUUUGUGAACCUGUGACCAUUCCACUCAUCUGGCUUCACCUGCUAUGUGGUUUACAGUGAUUGUGCAGUAUAUACCAGAUGUUCACUCUUAUCAAUACUGUCUGAUGGUGGGUUUGCAGAGGUACGUUUAACGUGACAUGACUCUAGUACCUUAUCUAAAACACCAUAAUAUACUAGAAUAACUCUACUGCACACCUUACAAAACAUGCACAACUCAUGAAAACCUCUGCAUGCCAUUUUUAAUAAAUUACUAUAGUAUAUAAUCAGGUGGAGUUAUAUUUUAUAUAUAUAUAUAUUUCAUAUUUCCUAGUGCCUUGACAUAUGUUUGUGGUGAACCUAUUUUGUGAUCAUCAUUCCUCCCCUUUAUGUGUCUUUUAUGACCUGACCUUUUUCUUUCUCCGUCUUACUCACUUUAAAUGCACCUCUGCAAACCCACACCAACAUACAGUAUUGAUAACUGACAAUUUGGUAAAUACUUAGCACAAACACAAUUUCUAAGCAUACACAUUCAAUAUUUUUAUUUAUUUACAGAUAUCCUUAAAUAUGUCCUUGGUGGAAGUGCUCUUCUUGUGAUCGUCAUGCUUUCAUUUACACUCUUGUGCAUGUGCAAGAAUAAAAAAAGGAAGGAGAAUGCCCAUUCGGUGAUUACACAAAACAGCAGUGAUGAACAGCAAGCUUCCCUAUCCACAAUGAUACCAGAGACUGCAAGCACAGCAAUCCAAG